This 631-nucleotide ribosomal RNA is filed under the name uncultured eukaryote. Its description in RNAcentral is "SSU rRNA". It matches the Rfam family "Eukaryotic small subunit ribosomal RNA", at positions 609 to 1148 of the family's 1831-position model. The record is from RNAcentral.
GUUGUUGCGGUUAAAACGUUCGUAGUUGAAUUUGUGUCCCACACGGGUAAUUGGCCCACUUACGGGUUCUUAUUACUUGCCGGCUUGCUGGCUUUAGUGUGCGGACGUUUUACCGGUGAGGGAAACGGUGUAGUUUCGGCUGCAAUACGCCCCUUAUUUAUUUCAUAAACCCGUCUUGGUGCUUUUAAUCGAGUGCCAAUGUGGGCCGGUACUAUUACUUUGAACGAAUUAGAGUGCUUAAAGCAGGCUAAAUUUAAUGAAAGUUAAAACGCCUGAAUAUAUUUUGCAUGGAAUAAUGGAAUAGGACCUCUGUUCUACUUUCAUUGGUUUUUAGACCAAGAGGUAAUGAUUAAUAGAAGCAGUUGGGGGCAUUAGUAUUACGAGGCGAGAGGUGAAAUUCGUAGACCCUCGUAAGACUAACUUAAGCGAAAGCAUUUGCCAAGGAUGUUUUCAUUAAUCAAGAACGAAAGUUAGAGGAUCGAAGGCGAUCAGAUACCGCCCUAGUUCUAACCAUAAACGAUGCCAGCUAGCAAUUGUAUGUAGCUACUAAUUUUGGUUCAUACAGUCGCUUUCCGGGAAACCAAAGCUUUUGGGCUCCGGGGGAAGUAUGGUUGCAAAGCUGAAACUUAAA